UUCAUGAUAUGAUGGUGUAAAAUAGGGAACACUUGAAUGUGAACAUAUGAACUAUUGAAAUAAGUGUGAUGAUGAAUGUGAUUCAAAAAUAAAAUAAAUACAACUGUGCUGAUUUGUGACCAUUGAUGUCUUAGGUGGUGCGGUCGGGAUUGGACCAUCAUCAAGACAGGAACGACCCACAGGUGGAGCAGGGACGUCACACCAACGAGAUGUCUAGGAUACCCGAUACACGGGAACCUACUUUUGCAAGGAAUUAAGUAGAUGCAUUCUAAAUCACAAUGUAUUUUGUAGGGAUCAAUGUACUGAAUGUAUAACUUUUAUUAGAUCCUUUUUGUUUAAAAAUUGUGAUGGCUAUUAGAAGUAUAAGAGUGCAAACUCAUGUCCAUGUAUAUAUAUUUUUAAUAUGAACUUCAAAUCAUGCAACCUUAAUAUUAUGUGUUUGUGUAA
Populus trichocarpa (black cottonwood) is the source of this 447-nucleotide long non-coding RNA. RefSeq lists it as uncharacterized. NCBI's taxonomy places the organism in Eukaryota, Viridiplantae, Streptophyta, Magnoliopsida, Malpighiales, Salicaceae. The record is from RefSeq and is a predicted model, not a curated record. The transcript is spliced from 2 exons.